GAUGGACGCUGGCGGCGUGCCUAAAACAUGCAAGUCGAGCGGUAAGGCCUCUUCGGAGGUACACGAGCGGCGGACGGGUGAGUAACACGUGGGAAUCUACCCCAAACUGAGGGAUAAGCACCGGAAACGGUGUCUAAUACCGCAUAUGGUCUUCGGAUUAAAGCUUCGGCGGUUUGGGAAGAGCCCGCGUAAGAUUAGCUAGUUGGUGAGGUAAAGGCUUACCAAGGCGACGAUCUUUAGCUGGUUUGAGAGGAUGAUCAGCCACACUGGAACUGAGACACGGCCCAGACUCCUACGGGAGGCAGCAGUUAGGAAUUUUCCACAAUGGGCGCAAGCCUGAUGGAGCAACGCCGCGUGCAGGAUGAAGGUUUUCGGAUUGUAAACUGCUUUUAUGUGCGAAGAAUAUGACGGUAACACAUGAAUAAGGAUCGGCUAACUCCGUGCCAGCCGCCGCGGUAA
RNAcentral lists this ribosomal RNA (459 nucleotides) under uncultured bacterium. Its description in RNAcentral is "partial 16S ribosomal RNA". It matches the Rfam family "Bacterial small subunit ribosomal RNA", at positions 28 to 523 of the family's 1533-position model. The record is from RNAcentral.